RNAcentral lists this ribosomal RNA (291 nucleotides) under uncultured bacterium. RNAcentral's name for it is "partial 16S ribosomal RNA". The record is from RNAcentral.
GGCUGGUCGUCUCUCAGACCAGCUACCCGUCUUAUGCCUUGGUGGGCCGUUACCCCGCCAACUAGCUGAUAGGCCGCGGACUCAUCUGGAAGCGUCAGGCCUUGCGGUCCCCAACUUUAGUCUUCCAACCACAUCCGGCAUUAGUCCGGCUUUCGCCGAAUUAUUCCGAACUUCCAGGCAGAUGAUCCACGUGUUACGCACCCUUGCGCCGCUCCGAACAUCCAAUAUUGCUACCGGAUAUUCAGCGCUCGACUUGCAUGUCUUAACCACGCCGACACGCCGACGCCGAGA